Molecule: non-coding RNA, 632 nt
Organism: Macaca mulatta (Rhesus monkey)
Lineage: Eukaryota; Metazoa; Chordata; Mammalia; Primates; Cercopithecidae
Source: RefSeq, a predicted model, not a curated record
CUGGAUCUUCUAGGAAAGUUACUUCUCAUUUCCUUGGAGAGUUUCUGAAAGCGACCCUUUCUCCCUUUGCUUGGCUAUUGCUGUUCAGAUCCAAGGCCCGACACUGCUGUAACCAUCAGCACAAGCUUGAAGAUGAUGCUGACACAGACGACAGCAAAGCCAGUCAAGUCACAAGCACAUGGAGUCACAGGCACUGGAUUUAAUACUUUUGAAGCAGGUUCUACCUCAGGGCCUUCAGUGAGGUGAAUCGAUCAAUUUCCAGGAUAAUAUGCAACAGACCCUGAAGAAUUGCUAAGAAUUCAGAUUCCUGGGCCCAAUCUGAAACCUACUGAAUCAGCAUCAAGAUCUCUAGGGUGGGGCACAGUGGGAUGUGCCUAUAGUCCAAGAUACUUGGAAGGCUGAGUGAGGAGGAUCUCUUAAGCCCAGGAGUUCAAGUCCAGCCUGGGUAAUAUAAUGAGACCCUGUCCUUAAAAAAACCAAAAACCAAAAAAAUGUCCCUAGGUUACCUUUAUGUAAGCUGUAAUUCACUUUAUAUAUUGUCUACCUAGGCCACAAUGCCAACAAUGUAAGUUUUUUUUUUUUAAAUAAAAGUCACUUACAACAUUUAAAAAAUAAAGUAUCAUUCAUCUUGG